Molecule: small RNA, 1257 nt
Filed under: Pongo abelii (Sumatran orangutan)
Lineage: Eukaryota; Metazoa; Chordata; Mammalia; Primates; Hominidae
Description: retained intron
Source: RNAcentral
GGGGAGAUCCGCGUGCCCCUCCGCCGCCUCAAGCCUUCGCAGAAGAAGCAUUUUAACAUCUGCCUCGAGCGCCAGGUCCCGGUCUGUGUGGGGGCUGCAGGGGCGCCAGGGGAGGGGGCCCUGGGGAGGCCAGGCUUCCAGAACCUUCUCUUUGCCCCCUCAGCUGGCGUCCCCCUCUUCCAUGUCAGCGGCGCUGAGGGGCAUCUCCUGUUACCUAAAGGAGUUGGAGCAGGCGGAGCAGGGGCAGGGGCUGCUGGAGGAGCGUGGCCGCAUCCUGCUGAGUCUCAGCUACAGCUCACGGCGCCGGGGACUGCUGGUAGGCAUCUUGCGCUGUGCCCAUCUGGCUGCCAUGGACGUCAACGGUUACUCGGACCCCUACGUCAAGACGUACCUGAGGCCCGAUGUGGACAAGAAAUCCAAGCAUAAGACGUGCGUGAAGAAGAAGACUCUCAACCCAGAAUUUAACGAGGAGUUUUUCUACGAGAUAGAGCUCUCCACUCUGGCCACCAAGACCCUGGAAGUCACCGUCUGGGACUAUGACAUUGGCAAAUCCAAUGACUUCAUUGGUGGCGUGUCCCUGGGGCCAGGUGCCCGAGGCGAGGCUCGGAAGCACUGGAGUGACUGCCUGCAGCAGCCAGAUGCAGCCCUGGAGCGCUGGCACACCCUGACCAGCGAGCUGCCCCCUGCAGCUGGGGCUCUGUCCUCAGCCUGAGUGGACAGCAGUGUCCCAGCACAGGCCCAUCGAGCCGGGUCCAGUACCCAACCUUCGCACGAGUGUGUUGCACGUUUACACGGGGUGGGCUGCCCCCACCCUGCACUACCUGUCUUAUUUUUGUGAGUCUCCGUGACCCGGGUCUGUCUGCUCAUGAGGGGCUGUGGAGUUCUAUGUUCACAUAUGCAAACCUCCUGCCUGACUCGCUAGUCCCUGCAAAUAUGCAAACCCCCCAUCAUGUGCACACCCGGGCAGUGCUCAGAGCCUGGCCCCAGGCCCCCGCGCUCCUCACUCCUGCCUCUCCACGCUGCCCCGUCCCUCUCCCCCGACAGGGAGGAGGUCGGAUUAGGGGAGGUUCAGAGGAGAAUGUCUCAAAAACAAAAAGACAAAAAACAAACCCAGAGCCACUCCUUUAAUACAGAAACGUCAUUGAAAAAACCUAGCCCUGUACAGCUGCCCUUUUAAAGAGGUGGCCAUCGCAGGGUCUCUGCCUCCCCAGCAGGUGGCAGAUGCUCCCGGCCACUCGUUUAAAUAACUGUCCCCUG